RNAcentral lists this ribosomal RNA (791 nucleotides) under uncultured archaeon. Its description in RNAcentral is "bacterial SSU rRNA". It matches the Rfam family "Archaeal small subunit ribosomal RNA", at positions 85 to 879 of the family's 1478-position model. The record is from RNAcentral.
ACUGCUCAGUAACACGUGGAUAACAUGCCCUAAGGUGGGGGAUAAUCUCGGGAAACUGAGGAUAAUACCCCAUAGAUCUAGAGCGCUGGAAUGCCUUUAGGUCGAAAACUCCGGUGCCUUAGGAUUGGUCUGCGGUCUAUCAGGCAGUAGUGGGUGUAAUGGACCCACUAGCCCGUGACGGAUAUGGGCCUUGAGAGAGGGUGCCCAGAGAUGGACUCUGAGACAUGAGUCCAGGCCCUACGGGGCGCAGCAGUCGCGAAAACUUCGCAAUGGGGGAAACCCCGACGAGGGAAUUCCAAGUGCUAGCACUUUGUGUUAGCUGUUCUUCUGUCUAAAAAACAGGAGAAGUAAGGGGCGGGUAAGACGGGUGCCAGCCGCCGCGGUAAUACCCGCGCCCCGAGUGGUGGUCGAUAUUAUUGAGCCUAAAACGUUCGUAGCCGGUCUUCUAAGUCCUUGGGUAAAUCGGGCAGCUUAACUGUCCGAAUUCCGGGGAGACUGGGAGACUUGGGACCGGGAGAGGUCAGAGGUACUUCUGGGGUAGGGGUAAAAUCCUGUAAUCCUGGAAGGACCACCGGUGGCGAAGGCGUCUGACUAGAACGGAUCCGACGGUGAGGAACGAAGCCCUGGGGCGCAAACGGGAUUAGAUACUCCGGUAGUCCAGGGUGUAAACGCUGCGGGCUUGAUGUUGGGGGUCCUUAGUGGGCGCCCAGUGCCGGAGAGAAGUUGUUAAGCCUGCUGCUUGGGGAGUAUGUCCGCAAGGAUGAAACUUACAGGAAUUGGCGGGGGAGCAC